UACGGAAGGUCCGGGCGUUAUCCGGAUUUAUUGGGUUUAAAGGGAGCGUAGGCCGCUUUGUAAGCGUGUUGUGAAAUUUGCCGGCUCAACCGGUAACUUGCAGCGCGAACUGCAGAGCUUGAGCGUGCGCAACGUUGGCGGAAUUCGUCGUGUAGCGGUGAAAUGCUUAGAUAUGACGAAGAACUCCGAUUGCGAAGGCAGCUGACGGGAGCACUACUGACGCUGAAGCUCGAAAGUGCGGGUAUCGAACAGG
This 253-nucleotide ribosomal RNA is filed under the name uncultured bacterium. RNAcentral's name for it is "partial 16S ribosomal RNA". It matches the Rfam family "Bacterial small subunit ribosomal RNA", at positions 524 to 776 of the family's 1533-position model. The record is from RNAcentral.